Molecule: ribosomal RNA, 492 nt
Filed under: uncultured bacterium
Lineage: Bacteria
Description: partial 16S ribosomal RNA
Rfam family: Bacterial small subunit ribosomal RNA
Source: RNAcentral
AGUGAACGCUGGCGGUAGGCCUAACACAUGCAAGUCGAACGGCAGCACAGUAAGAGCUUGCUCUUACGGGUGGCGAGUGGCAGACGGGUGAGGAAUACAUCGGAAUCUACUUUUUCGUGGGGGAUAACGUAGGGAAACUUACGCUAAUACCGCAUACGACCUACGGGUGAAAGCAGGGGAUCUUCGGACCUUGCGCGAUUGAAUGAGCCGAUGUCGGAUUAGCUAGUUGGCGGGGUAAAGGCCCACCAAGGCGACGAUCCGUAGCUGGUCUGAGAGGAUGAUCAGCCACACUGGAACUGAGACACGGUCCAGACCCCUACGGGAGGCAGCAGUGGGGAAUAUUGGACAAUGGGCGCAAGCCUGAUCCAGCCAUACCGCGUGGGUGAAGAAGGCCUUCGGGUUGUAAAGCCCUUUUGUUGGGAAAGAAAAGCAGCAGGUUAAUACCCCGCUGUUCUGACGGUACCCAAAGAAUAAGCACCGGCUAACUUCGUG